UCGUAUGCUGUCUGGACAGCAUCCUUGGGACUGGCGGCUCUGCAUGGCAGGUCCAGACAGACCUAGAGAGAGGAUUUGGUCACGCAGGAGUGACAAACUGGAGCACACUGGGAUCUGUGGUCCUCAGAGUGAAGUCUUGGGCUUUAGUUGCAUAAACCAGAGCUGACCCAGCAAUGGUUGUUGCUACGUCCCAUUGGUCCAGCUGCAACUUGCGGCGAGCAGAUAUUGGGUAUCAGCUGUUGUGUUGGCAGCUGCUAGUCAGUCACCACCUGUCUUUCUGCUGGAUUGACUUCUAGACUGGCUGUGUGGCAAGUUCUUGGACUGUGUGUGUUUGGAGGUAGGUUUCACAAGGAAGAUUUUUUCUUUUCCUUUUUUCUUUUCCUUCUUUUCCUCUAUUUUUCAACUCCACCGGAUUAUAAAAAACACUGGAGCAGCAGCACUUAGGGUUUCAACACAUACCCGAGGGCUCAAAGCGAGGAAAUCCUUCCAGAUAGAUCUGCAUGGGCGUAACCAAAACUCAGGGGAUAGCCGACAAGUGAGAACACGUCCUGUCAGAGAAAAGCAAGCUCCCAGGUGAUGUCCUCAUGGACAAACACGUGACUCACAUCCAUGUACUGUAAAACUAUAUAUGUCGAUGUAAUGAGCAACAGUGUAAAUAAAGGAGCAAUAAAUUCUCUGCUUCCA
This is a long non-coding RNA of Pelmatolapia mariae (spotted tilapia), 684 nucleotides long. RefSeq lists it as uncharacterized. Lineage: Eukaryota; Metazoa; Chordata; Actinopteri; Cichliformes; Cichlidae. The transcript has 2 exons. The record is from RefSeq and is a predicted model, not a curated record.